ACGCGCAUUACUAAUGGGUAACGCGAUGCACCUAAGCCGAUAUGAUUCAAAGUGGCGCACCAUACGCUGUUUCUAGAUUAGGGUUUCUCCUCUCUCGCUCAAUACACCUAAAACAUAGAGGGCAAAUCUUUUGGUAAGAUCCCUAAGACCGAUCUAGAAAUUUCCUUGCUUUCCUCGAUUUUUAUGAAGAUUUUGAGAUUGUUCUGUGUACGCACUUAGAAUUAGAAAUAAAUUGCCGAAUAGGGAAACCCUAAGCUUAAUUCUAGGUUUUCAGUAAAAUGGACGAAAAUGAAGCUGGCGAGCAGUUUCAUCGGAACGAAGCCAUAUCCGCUGUAGCUGACGAGGGUUUCCUCGCCGAAGAGGAAGAUGACUAUGAAGAUCUGUAUAACGAUGUUAAUGUUGGUGAGAACUUCCUUCAGUCGAUUAGGAAGAACGAGGAUAAUCUAGGUCAGAGAAAUGAGCAAGUGCCGGAGAACAAGGCCGAGCCGACUCCUCCGCCGCGUCAAGCACCGCAGCCGGUAGUGGAGAGUCGGGGUGGGGCUGUACAAGACGAGGGAGAAUCAACGAGGGAUUCUGUUAGAGUAGAGGCGCAUCAGAAUUUGGGGUUUAGGGGGAAUAAUAGUAUUAACGAUAUUGGGGCUGGUAGAGGUUUGGGGGUGACAGGUGGAAGUGGAUUGGGGAUUCCAGGUGCUGUGGGGUUUAGGGUUGAACUAAAGCAGUCAUCGAAUAAACCAGCUGAGUUCGAAGAGCAGACCGUGAAUAACAGUGCUGCAAAUAGUCAACAAAUGGUUCAGCAUCAGCAGCCACGUGCAGCCAAUAUAGGAGUUGCAGCAAGCCCUGUAAAUGUUGGAAUCGGGGGGAAUGUGACUGGGACUGGAGGAUACAUACCUGGAAGUGGUGUUGGCAGCGGGACUACUGCUGCUGGUGGUGGUGGUGGUGGUGGUGGAGGAACAAUUCUUUUUGUUGGUGAUUUGCAUUGGUGGACAACUGAUUCUGAGCUGGAGGAGGAGCUAAGCAAGUAUGGGCCAGUAAAGGAAGUGAAAUUUUUUGAUGAGAAGGCUAGUGGGAAGUCAAAAGGUUACUGUCAGGUAGAAUUUUUCAACCCCGAUAGUGCCACUGCAUGUAAGGAAGGAAUGAAUGGGCAUUUGUUUAAUGGACGGCCAUGUGUAGUUGCAUAUGCCUCACCAUAUAGUGUCAAGAGAAUGGGUGAAGCUCAGUUGAAUAGAAACCAAAAUGCGGCCCAGCCAGCUGUUAAUCAACCACGAAGAGGGCCUGGAGGAACUGGAGAUGUGCCAGGUAAACCUAGCGGCGGCGGUGGAGGCGGAGGCAACAUGGCUAUAGGUGGGAACUAUCAAGGCAGUGGUGAUGGUCACAGAGGUUUUGGGAGAGGGAAUUGGGGUAGAGGUAAUGGUCAAGGAGGUAUGGGGAAUAGGGGGCCUAUGGGUCCAAUGAGAAACAGGGGUGGUGGAAUAGGUGGUCGUGGUUUAAUGGGUAACGGUAAUGGAUUUGCGCAGGGGAUUGGUGCCACUCCUCCAUUAUUACAUCCUCAAACCAUGAUGGGUCAGGGAUUCGAUCCUGCUUUUGGAGGGCCCAUGGGGAGAAUGGGUAGUUAUGGAGGAUUUCCUGGUGCGCCUGCCCCACCCUUUUCUGGAAUGUUAUCUUCAUUUGGACCUGUUGGAAGUGUUGGUUUGCCUGGUGUUGCUCCCCAUGUGAAUCCGGCAUUUUUUGGGAGAGGGAUGCCCAUGAAUGGUAUGGGUAUGAUGCCUGCUCCUGGAUUUGAGGGGCCUCAUAUGGGCACAUGGUCGGAUCCUAAUAUGGCUGGAUGGACAGGCGACGAGCAUGGUGGGAGAGCAGGAGAGUCUAGUUAUGGAGAAGAAGCUGCAUCUGACCAUCAGUAUGGAGAAGGGAGCCAUGAUAAAGGGCCUUGGGCAAAUGAUACUAAAGAGAAGGACAGAGGCUCAGAAAGGGAUUGGUCUGGAUCUUCAGAUAGGAGGUAUCGAGAUGAUAGAGAACCAGGCUAUGACAGAGAUAUGCCUCGAGAAAAAGAUACGGGGCAUGAUCGUGAGUGGUCGGAAAGGAGGCAUCGCGAUGGAAGUGUUGGUGUACGAGACAGGGAGAGGGACCGCGACCGGGACCGGAAUCCUGGUCAUUCUCGAGACCGCGAGCGUGAACGUGGGAGGGACCGUGAUCAUCAACGGGAUGACAGAGAUGUAUAUGCUGAUCAUCAUAGGUACAGGGACCGUGAGCCAGAAUAUGAUGAUGAAUGGGACAGGGUAAGAUCGUCCAGGACUCACAGCAAAUCGAGACUAUCACAUGAGGAAGAUCGUAGGUCAAGAUCAAGGGAUGCCGAUUAUGGGAAGAGGCGACGCCUAACUUCUGAGUAAUCAGGUGUUCACUGCAUCUCUCAGCAUUGUAGUUCAGAAAGAAACUGGAAACUGAUUAGGUACUAGGUAAACUAUGGGUUAGCCAUGAUCAUUUAGACUCUUUAAAUAGCUUCUUUCUUGGUUGCCUCGCUUCAGUGGACGCUGAACAGUCAUGCACUUCAAUACAUUCUAUGGCUUCUAUGUUGUGAAAUCUGUGAUGGCUUCUUCUGAAAGAUUAUGGGUUUUCUCAGCACAUGAAUAAAAUGGAAGCCUAUGAUUCUGGAGCUGUUCUACUGGAAGUCUGUAUGGAUGGGCAUAAAGCUUUAGUUUGGAAGAUGAUAUGACAUGGUGACACCUCUUAGCCAGGAUAGUGCUGCUCGUCGUCGAACCUUUUUAAGUAUUCGAACAUUUCAUUUAUCUUUUUGUUUAAUGUCGCUUUAACAAUCUAAUGUUGUGGAUGAUGAUUAUGGCUUGAAACGCUGAAGUGUUGAGAUCUGGUGAAUAAUUUAGAAUGUUGCUAUUUGAAUGUGAUGUAUUAGGAUUGAAGACAGGAUGAUAAACAUGUGCCCCCUUUUCUGUUUUUUAUUUUUUGUAACUUUACCCCCUUUUUUCUUAGGUUUAUCGUGUUAAUCAUGCCAUUUAUGUGAAGAUUAUGUAGAAUGUAGCUAUACAAUCAAGGGGAUUAUUGAACCCAA
Molecule: RNA transcript, 3058 nt
Organism: Olea europaea var. sylvestris
Lineage: Eukaryota; Viridiplantae; Streptophyta; Magnoliopsida; Lamiales; Oleaceae
Gene name: cleavage and polyadenylation specificity factor subunit CG7185
Exons: 2
Source: RefSeq, a predicted model, not a curated record